This 674-nucleotide long non-coding RNA is filed under the name Mytilus galloprovincialis (Mediterranean mussel). The record is from RNAcentral. Lineage: Eukaryota; Metazoa; Mollusca; Bivalvia; Mytilida; Mytilidae.
UCGCUACCUAUUUUUGGCAUUGCACAAGGUCAUGUUUUUUCUCGUCUGUUCACUUAAUUCAUUGGAUGUUGGAUGUGUACUAAAUGACAUCGUAGUCUUUGAUUCUUUUUUUGUAUUUGUUGUUAUUGGCUUUGAACUAGCUUUCGGUAAUUCCAGUAAUCCCAAAUCUGUAUACAUGGUAUCUUUUUGUUGUUAGGGAUGAGGAAUGGAUAAAUACCCUGCCACGUCCGAUCUGUGUUUUUGUUUGAUAUUUUCUGCUUUGUAUCGAUCUGAUGUUCAGUCUUUUUCAACCGAUUUCAUAGUUUGUUCUUAUGUUGUGCUGGUACCAACCGUUCAAGGUUAUGGUAGGGUUGAACACUCACAAAAAUGUUGAAUCCCAUCUCAUUCUUUGUGUGCCUGUCCCAAGUCAGGAUGCUGUAGUUAAGUGGUUUUCAUUUGUUCAUGACUGGCAUAUGUGUUCUUCGUAAAUUGUUUUGUUGUAAAUAAGAACGUGAUUUUUCUCACUUAAACUGUAAGUUUCAUAUUUUACAUGUUCCAGUGGGGCAUUUUAAAGCCGACUAUACGGACAUAUAUAUAACAUACUAUUCACGUAUGUCACAAGAAAGACAACUCGAUACUUGUUUUUCAACAACUAAUUCGUCAGGUCGGUAAAAAAUACGCAUUUAAGACUAUAU